This 253-nucleotide ribosomal RNA is filed under the name uncultured bacterium. RNAcentral's name for it is "partial 16S ribosomal RNA". It matches the Rfam family "Bacterial small subunit ribosomal RNA", at positions 524 to 776 of the family's 1533-position model. The record is from RNAcentral.
UACGUAGGGUGCAAGCGUUAAUCGGAAUUACUGGGCGUAAAGCGUGCGCAGGCGGCUUUGCAAGACAGAUGUGAAAUCCCCGGGCUUAACCUGGGAACUGCAUUUGUGACUGCAUGGCUGGAGUGCGGCAGAGGGGGAUGGAAUUCCGCGUGUAGCAGUGAAAUGCGUAGAUAUGCGGAGGAACACCGAUGGCGAAGGCAAUCCCCUGGGCCUGCACUGACGCUCAUGCACGAAAGCGUGGGGGGCAAACAGG